Molecule: small RNA, 167 nt
Filed under: Chrysemys picta bellii (western painted turtle)
Lineage: Eukaryota; Metazoa; Chordata; Testudines; Emydidae
Description: TUC338 (ENSCPBG00000025076.1)
Source: RNAcentral
UUAACAGCACGGGGAGCUGGGCUCUUCUCCUUGCCCAGAGAACAGGUCUUGCCUGCAUUAGUGACAGCUUCCCAAUAUACCCUGCCAACGUGCAUCAGCGCGGAAGGACCACCUCUCAGGGUGAGGCGGUAGUUCGGUCUCCACGGCCCAUUUGGUGCUUUGAUCCU